Molecule: long non-coding RNA, 1407 nt
Organism: Oncorhynchus keta (chum salmon)
Lineage: Eukaryota; Metazoa; Chordata; Actinopteri; Salmoniformes; Salmonidae
Exons: 4
Source: RefSeq, a predicted model, not a curated record
ACAGCAGUAGAACAGACUCAGAUACAGUAGACACAGCAGUAGAACAGACUCAGGUACAGUAGACAGUAGAUACAGCAGUAGAACAGACUCAGGUACAGUAGAUACAGCAGUAGAACAGACUCAGGUACAGCAGAUACAGCAGUAGAACAGACUCAGGUACAGUAGACAGUAGAUACAGCAGUAGAACAGACUCAGGUACAGUAGACACAGCAGUAGAACAGACUCAGGUACAGUAGAUACAGCAGUAGAACAGACUCAGGUACAGUAGACAGUAGAUACAGCAGUAGAACUGAUUCAGGUACAGUAGACAGUAGAUACAGCAGUAGAACUGAUUCAGGUACAGUAGACAGUAGAUACAGCAGUAGAACAGACUCAGGUACAGUAGACAGUAGAUACAGCAGUAGAACAGACUCAGGUACAGUAGAUACAGCAGUAGAACAGACUCAGGUACAGCAGAUACAGCAGUAGAACAGACUCAGGUACAGUAGACAGUAGAUACAGCAGUAGAACAGACUCAGGUACAGUAGACACAGCAGUAGAACAGACUCAGGUACAGUAGACAGUAGAUACAGCAGUAGAACUGAUUCAGGUACAGUAGACAGUAGAUACAGCAGUAGAACUGAUUCAGGUACAGUAGACAGUAGAUACAGCAGUAGAACAGACGCAGGUACAGUAGACAGUAGAUACAGCAGUAGAACAGUAUCAGGUACAGUAGAUACAGCAGUAGAACAGACUCAGGUACAGUAGAUACAGCAGUAGAACAGACUCAGGUACAGUAGACAGUAGAUACAGCAGUAGAACAGACUCAGGUACAGUAGAUACAGCAGUAGAACAGACUCAGGUACAGUAGAUACAGCAGUAGAACAGACUCAGGUACAGUAGACAGUAGAUACAGCAGUAGAACAGACUCAGGUACAGUAGACACAGCAGUAGAACAGACUCAGGUACAGUAGAUACAGCAGUAGAACAGACUCAGGUACAGUAGAUACAGCAGUAGAACAGACUCAGGUACAGUAGACAGUAGAUACAGCAGUAGAACAGACUCAGGUACAGUAGAUACAGCAGUAGAACAGACUCAGGUACAGUAGAUACAGCAGUAGAACAGAUACAGGAGCUGGAUAGUGAGAGACAGAGUGGUGCUGCAGUGAACAGCACAGUGAACUAUAACCUGCUCCUGCAGCGAGGACAGUCUGGAGGGUAGAGACUCAUAAUUAUAAUACAGCUGAAUGUGCCAUUGAGGGAGAGCGGGAAAAUGACCGAACACACACACACACACACAGACACACAGACACACAGACAGACAGACACACACACACACACACACACACACACACACACACACACACAGACAGACACACACACACAGACAGACACACACAGACACACACAGACACACACAGACACACA